This 188-nucleotide small RNA is filed under the name Desulfofundulus kuznetsovii. RNAcentral describes it as "Desulfotomaculum kuznetsovii Magnesium sequence". It matches the Rfam family "M-box riboswitch aptamer (ykoK leader)". From Rfam's summary of the family: M-box riboswitch, also know as ykoK leader is described as a metaloregulatory RNA that sense divalent metals and function as a genetic control element of genes related to divalent metal transport in bacteria. It was first reported upstream of the B.subtilis ykoK gene and genes with related functions in other bacteria. Phylogenetic analysis of the distribution of M-box RNAs across bacterial genomes revealed that M-box riboswitches are most often employed for the regulation of Mg2+ transporter genes Lineage: Bacteria; Bacillati; Bacillota; Clostridia; Eubacteriales; Peptococcaceae. The record is from RNAcentral.
AAGAAUCCUUGUUAGGUGAGGCUUCUACAUAGAACAUACGCCACUGCCCGGAAAUGUCGAGAGACACCAAUGGGAUAACAGGUUUUGUCGGAUUAAGGCGGAAUCAAGAUGGCACAGGUAGACGUUUUGGGCGAAUUCUUUUUCAGCCGUGUGGUUGGAAUGCCGAUUAUCGACGCUGAAGGGAAAAA